This is a long non-coding RNA of Alnus glutinosa, 603 nucleotides long. RefSeq lists it as uncharacterized. The transcript is spliced from 2 exons. The record is from RefSeq and is a predicted model, not a curated record. Lineage: Eukaryota; Viridiplantae; Streptophyta; Magnoliopsida; Fagales; Betulaceae.
UGUUGUUUGCAAGAAACAGAUGGACGGGCCGGUAGGUCUGAAUGUCUGCUGAAGAGAAGAUUGGCAGGUACCUAGAGAAUUCCAACACAAUGCCACUCUCUUUUCUCUUCUCUCUUUUCAACAUUUAAGAAUCCAUUUCCAUCUCUUCCUGUGUUUAGCCAUGUCUCUCACACCUUUGAUGUUUAGGUCGGUGGUGAGGCUACUGACGUCGCUAAUUGGUGAGCCCGCCGCUUCGGUCUCAACCUUACUCUACUAUAGCAAUCUUCUACCCCAGAACAUCGUUCUAUUGAGAUUGGUCCGGCACGAAUUGCUCGACGAAGAAAAUUAUCUCUUCCAUUUUCUCGUCAACUUCUUGAGAUGUUUCUGGUAAAUGUUACUGUGCCGAGGUUUGACUCAUCUUUUUUCUCCAUCUUAUUCAUGGAUUUAUCGAAAUAAGAGAUAGGUGGUUCCUCAAUCGAUCUUAACCUUUUUUCUAUUUAUAUAUUUAAUAGUUGCAUUGCGGAUGCGGCCUGUUUUUUUCAUGCAACUGUAAUCUUGUGUAAUUGGUGAGCAUAUUGAUUUUAGACUUCCAACUCAUAAUGAAUAAUAUUUUGUUUCCAAACA